Molecule: ribosomal RNA, 247 nt
Filed under: uncultured Lactobacillus sp.
Lineage: Bacteria; Bacillati; Bacillota; Bacilli; Lactobacillales; Lactobacillaceae
Description: partial 16S ribosomal RNA
Rfam family: Bacterial small subunit ribosomal RNA
Source: RNAcentral
CGUGGGGAACCUGCCCCAUAGUCUGGGAUACCACUUGGAAACAGGUGCUAAUACCGGAUAAGAAAGCAGAUCGCAUGAUCAGCUUUUAAAAGGCGGCGUAAGCUGUCGCUAUGGGAUGGCCCCGCGGUGCAUUAGCUAGUUGGUAAGGUAAAGGCUUACCAGGGCGAUGAUGCAUAGCCGAGUUGAGAGACUGAUCGGCCACAUUGGGACUGAGACACGGCCCAAACUCCUACGGGAGGCAGCAGAC